AAGACCUUACGCUUUUGGAGCGGCCGAUGUCUGAUUAGCUUGUUGGUGAGGUAAAGGCUUACCAAGGCUUCGAUCAGUAGCUGGUCUGAGAGGACGGCCAGCCACACUGGGACUGAGACACGGCCCAGACUCCUACGGGAGGCAGCAGUGGGGAAUUUUGGACAAUGGGCGCAAGCCUGAUCCAGCCAUGCCGCGUGAGUGAAGAAGGCCUUCGGGUUGUAAAGCUCUUUCAGCCGGGAAGAAAAGGUUGCGACUAAUAAUCGCAAUCCAUGACGGUACCGAAAGAAGAAGCACCGGCUAACUACGUGCCAGCAGCCGCGGUAAUACGUAGGGUGCGAGCGUUAAUCGGAAUUACUGGGCGUAAAGGGUGCGCAGGCGGUUUUGUAAGUCAGAUGUGAAAUCCCCGGGCUUAACCUGGGAACU
This 423-nucleotide ribosomal RNA is filed under the name uncultured bacterium. RNAcentral's name for it is "bacterial SSU rRNA". It matches the Rfam family "Bacterial small subunit ribosomal RNA", at positions 207 to 622 of the family's 1533-position model. The record is from RNAcentral.